CCUACGGGAGGCAGCAGUGGGGAAUAUUGGGCAAUGGAGGAAACUCUGACCCAGCGACGCCGCGUGCGGGAUGAAGGCCUUCGGGUUGUAAACCGCUUUCAGUAGGGAAGAAGCGAAAGUGACGGUACCUACAGAAGAAGCACCGGCUAACUAUGUGCCAGCAGCCGCGGUAAUACAUAGGGUGCAAGCGUUGUCCGGAAUUAUUGGGCGUAAAGAGCUCGUAGGUGGUUCGUCACGUCGGAUGUGAAAAUCUGGGGCUCAACCCCAGACCUGCAUUCGAUACGGGCGAUCUAGAGUGUGGUAGGGGAGACUGGAAUUCCUGGUGUAGCGGUGGAAUGCGCAGAUAUCAGGAGGAACACCAAUGGCGAAGGCAGGUCUCUGGGCCAUUACUGACACUGAGGAGCGAAAGCGUGGGGAGCGAACAGGAUUAGAUACCCUGGUAGUCCACGCCGUAAACGGUGGGCACUAGUUGUGGGAACCUUCCACGGUUUCUGCGACGCAGCUAACGCAUUAAGUGCCCCGCCUGGGGAGUACGAUCGCAAGAUUGAAACUUAAAGGAAUUGACGG
Molecule: ribosomal RNA, 567 nt
Filed under: uncultured bacterium
Lineage: Bacteria
Description: bacterial SSU rRNA
Rfam family: Bacterial small subunit ribosomal RNA
Source: RNAcentral